CUCUUUUUGAUUAAAAUUUAAAGUUGUCUCUGCUCCAUGAUUAAUUAAAUAGCUGCAGUAUUUUGACUGUACAAAGGUAGCAUAAUWAAUUGUUUUUUAAAUGAAAACUUGAAUGAAUGAGUUAAUGAGAUAUAAAUUUUAUUAAAAUAAUAGAUUGAAUUUUAUUUUAAAGUUAAAAAGCUUUAAUUUUUUUAAGGGACGAGAAGACCCUAUAGAAUUUUAUAUAAAUAUAUAUUAAAUAUAUAAAUAUAUUUAUUUGGGAGGAAUAUUUAAUUAGAUAACUUAAUUUAUAAUUUUCAAUUAAUAAUUGUAAAURWUGAUUAUAUUUUAAUAUAUUAAAGAUUAAAUUACCUUAGGGAUAACAGCGUAAUAUUUUUUUAUAGUUCAUAUUGAAAAAAUUGUUU
RNAcentral lists this ribosomal RNA (404 nucleotides) under Bakeriella sp. RNAcentral describes it as "partial large subunit ribosomal RNA". The record is from RNAcentral. Lineage: Eukaryota; Metazoa; Arthropoda; Insecta; Hymenoptera; Bethylidae.